This 463-nucleotide ribosomal RNA is filed under the name uncultured bacterium. RNAcentral's name for it is "SSU rRNA". It matches the Rfam family "Bacterial small subunit ribosomal RNA", at positions 26 to 518 of the family's 1533-position model. The record is from RNAcentral.
AGAAUCAACGCUGGCGGCGUGCCUAACACAUGCAAGUCGAACGAGAAAGGGGUAGCAAUACCCUGAGUAAAGUGGCGCACGGGUGAGUAACACGUGACUAACCUACCCUGGAGUGGGGGAUAACUGAGGGAAACCUUAGCUAAUACCGCAUAAUACCUACGGGUCAAAGGAGCAAUUCGGCUUUGGGAGGGGGUCGCGGCCGAUUAGUUAGUUGGCGGGGUAAUGGCCCACCAAGACGAUGAUCGGUAUCCGGCCUGAGAGGGCGCACGGACACACUGGAACUGAAACACGGUCCAGACUCCUACGGGAGGCAGCAGUGGGGAAUUUUGCGCAAUGGGGGAAACCCUGACGCAGCAACGCCGCGUGGAGGAUGAAGUACUUCGGUACGUAAACUCCUUUCGAUCGGGACGAUUAUGACGGUACCGAGAGAAGAAGCCCCGGCUAACUUCGCGCCAGCAGCCGC